GAGAGCGGCGCACGGGUGCGUAACGCGUAUGCAACCUGCCUCAUACAGGGGGAUAGCCCAUGGAAACGUGGAUUAAUAUCCCAUAGUACAGCAAUUCCGCAUGGGAUUGUUGUUAAAACCGAGGUGGUAUGAGAUGGGCAUGCGUCCGAUUAGGUAGUUGGUAGGGUAACGGCCUACCAAGCCGAUGAUCGGUAGGGGUCCUGAGAGGGUUACCCCCCACACUGGUACUGAGACACGGACCAGACUCCUACGGGAGGCAGCAGUGAGGAAUAUUGGUCAAUGGGCGAGAGCCUGAACCAGCCAUCCCGCGUGCAGGAUGACGGCCCUAUGGGUUGUAAACUGCUUUUCCGCGCCAAGAAACCCCCCGACGUGUCGGGGGCUGACGGCAGCGCGGGAAUAAGCACCGGCUAACUCCGUGCCAGCAGCCGCGGUAAUACGGAGGGUGCAAGCGUUAUCCGGAUUCAUUGGGUUUAAAGGGUGCGCAGGCGGGGAAAUAAGUCAGUGGUGAAAUACUGCCGCUCAACGGUAGGGCUGCCAUUGAUACUGUUUUUCUUGAGUAUGGUUGAGGCAGGUGGAAUGUGUUGUGUAGCGGUGAAAUGCAUAGAUAUGACACAGAACGCCGAUUGCGAAGGCAACUUGCUAAGCCAUCACUGACGCUGAGGCACGAAAGCGUGGGUAGCGAACAGGAUUAGAUACCCUGGUAGUCCACGCCGUAAACGAUGUUCACUCGCUGUUUGCGAUACACAGUAAGCGGCCGAGC
This 760-nucleotide ribosomal RNA is filed under the name uncultured bacterium. RNAcentral's name for it is "bacterial SSU rRNA". It matches the Rfam family "Bacterial small subunit ribosomal RNA", at positions 91 to 852 of the family's 1533-position model. The record is from RNAcentral.